Molecule: long non-coding RNA, 8112 nt
Filed under: Xyrichtys novacula (pearly razorfish)
Lineage: Eukaryota; Metazoa; Chordata; Actinopteri; Labriformes; Labridae
Source: RNAcentral
GAGCCACGCCCCCAACCAAAAAGCCAUUUAUGAUCAUUACUUCAUGGAGAUACAAUCAGACAGAGAUGCUAAGGCAGAAGAACUACUGCGUCUGCAGUUUAAAAUGAUUAAUAUGAUUAUUAUUACUUCAAGGAAAUGAUGAAUCAUUGGUCAUAAAUGUUCUUCCUUGAGCUGCGUCCCCCCGCUGCAGUUAAUGGACUCGCCCGGAGGUCUCUGUACAAACAAGCGGCUGCUGGAGGAGGGACGGUGAGUUGUGUUUAGACUCUUUGCUGAAGAAAUUAGAUGUUUGGUGGCUAGUACUGUGACUGGAACCCUAUAUGUACUAUUGAUGAAGUUAGGUGCUGUUCUGAUCAUUAUUUGUGGCUAUAGAGUGGAGUUUUGUUUGAGGUUUGUUUAUGGCUCCUCAGACCGCUGUGUAUUGCUAUCGUGCGGUCGUUACUAAAGUUGGUAUAACUAGAGAAGUAAGCGGUUGGCGUUUGACCCUAAAUUAAUUUUACGCCGGAAUAUCCCUCUAAGGAGAAAGUGUCCUAAAACGUUCAACCUGUGACUUCUGUUUACAGCGACCCCAGACUUGGUAGCUUCACGGAGCAACAUCAGACCAGACCAUGAGAGUUAAACAUAAAUAGGCUGAGCUACCUUUGACCACAGGCUGCAGCACAUCCAGCAUCGUUCAGUCUCAAAAAUAAGGGUUUAUGUUUUUAUAAGAUGUGGAGCAAAGUCGCUCUUUAGCCCGGCAAAUGUUAGCUUGUUCAUGCUCGUGAUCACUACAGCUGCUCUGUUGUCGUGCUUUACUCUGUCCCUUGGCUUUUCAGAUGCACACCUGCCUCCUCCUGCAGCUUAGUGAUAGUUUGUCCUACUGAAGGACAACAUGUUGAAGAUUGACCUUAUAAUGUCAUAACAGUGCCAGUCAUGGAUGUAUUACUUUAAGAACUUUUACUUCCUGGACACCACACAUUCUCCCAUCAGGCUUUGCACCAUUGAGAGAUUUUGGUUGGCUCAGAAAGUUCCUGCUAAAAUCGUUCGGUCUAAAUGCUCAAUCGUCUCUUUUUGCCAACAUUGUUGGAAAUGAUAAACCCAGUGUGUGUUGAGAUGUGGGUGAAGUCAAACAACAGUUUUAUAAAUGAAGCCCCCUGGUGCUCCACUCCCUCACUUUACUCUGCUGAGCCCAUAAAUAAGUAAUCAAGGCUGGGUCACACUAAUGGCUUCCCAGAGCAGUGGGUACAGAUGUGUGUGUGUGUGUGUGUGUGUGUGUGUGUGUGUGUGUGUGUGUGUGUGUGUGUGUGUGUGUGUGUGUGUGUGUGUGUGUGUGUGUGCGCAAAAAGAGAUGAGGAGAGAGGAGGGGGGAUUAUUAAAGAAGGAGAAACAAGAUGCAAGUGUGUGUGAGUGUGUGAGAGUGUGUUUGUGUGCACGUGCAGCCUUAGAGGGAAAAAAAGCGAAGCCUUUCUGUUCAUCAUCUCAAAUCAAAGUGCAUUAAAGCAGAGCUCUUAGCAUCUUCAAGCCUUACACACUUCCCUCUGGAGCCACACACACACACUUGCUAACACACACACACAUACACACACACACACACACACACACACAACAGAUGUUCUGCAUGUACUCUUGUGUACAUAUAUGAGCAAACAUGGAUAAAAGUGUACACACACACUCGUGGAAAUUAAUGCACACAUUUAUUUCUGUCAUUUGCGACACACUAACUUUGCAGAAGUGUGUGCAUGUGUGUGUGUGUGUGUGUGUGUGUGUGUGUGUGAGAGAGUGUGUGUGCAUAUGUUAAAAGUGUGAUAGAGAGGAUAAAUAAUGUAUGGAUUCUUCCUCCUCGAGCUUUUACCAAUAAACCUGUUCACCAGUGGGGUGAGGGGACUGACCUGGUUGUCUAACAGUCAACCCCGAUACGAGAGGUUGCUGGUUUGAUUCCACUUCACACACUUUCCUGUGUAAAAACCCAAGGACGAACUUUGUUGGGGGUUUUGCUUCACCUGCUGCAAGUGAACCUGCUAUUUAAAUGUGAACAGGGUGCCUUCUGAAUCUGAUCUGAGACAUAAUAAUAAAUAUGAACCUGCAAAAAGGAGAGAAGAAAUAAAACUAGCGUCUCAGCAAAUGCACCAUUUAAACAGAAAACCAUGAUCCAGAAACAUCCCUGACUUCUCUGGGCCUGAGCUGACAUAGGAUGGAUGAAGACAAAGUGGGGGCUGUGAGGGCUUCAGCAGUGCUAAACAGUAGAUACAGGUUUUGGAGCAACAUCUAGAGAACACCUUUCUCAGCAAAGACUUCUCAUAUUUCAGCAAGAUCAUGACAAACCAGAUUUUCACAUAUUACAACCUUUCACGUAUCUCUGUAGUAGAAAGGUCCUGCUCUAUAGUCCUGACUAUGGAAAACGAAGGUCACACUUUACAUUAAGGUCCUUGUAAUGGGCAUUAGUCAAUAUUUUAUAAGACUUGAUAAGCUCUUCAAUUAACCUUAAUAAAGUCUGAUGAAUGUUCACACCCUAAAGAUGUUUAUGACAGGUUAAUAAACUGUUUUUAUAAGCAAUAACAGAUCAAAUAAUCAAUCAAUCUUUACUUGGACAGAACUUUUCAUACAAAACCCUGUAGCCCAAAGUGCUCAGUCUGGGCCUACCCAAGGUUUCUGCCUGUUAAAAGGAAGUUUUUUCUCGCCACUGUUACUCAUGUUAGAUGAGAUGGGCCAAAUCCCAUCUUUGGUUGGGUCUUGAUAAUUCAUCAAACGAUGAGUGUUGUCUAGACCUGCUCUUUGGAAAGCAUCUUGGGAUGAUGACUGUUGUGAUUUGGGGCCAUAUAAAUAAAACUUGAUUGAUAAGAUUUGAAUGAUUGAUUUACACAGCAGAGGAAUAAAACAAACAAAGAAUACCCAAAUCUACCCCGACCCAACCUCUCAUUCCGACGCCGCGAUCUAAGCACAACAGAAACAGAAUUAAAAUGCUUUAACUGCAAAAGAGCUUAAAUUCAUUAAAACAGGAAUGUUUUAGUUAUGCUCUUAAAAACACUUUUUAUACCUAUUCAUGGUCAGAAGCAACUUUUUCGGUCUUACAGGAGCUUAUUCACUCUGCUUCUUGCUUGGAACUGAAUGUAAAGUGGGACCAGCUCCAGAAACUGGUCUCCUCAGCGUUCAGAUACAGGGUGAUAUUAAAAGAUGAGGUGUUAAGAUAGGAAACAUGGUCCUCUCUUAUUCCUCAUGGGCCAGAACAAUUAAUGCAAAGAACAAGAGUGACAUUUAUCAGAAGAAAAAAAAAAUCAUUUACUUUAAAAAGCCCGCUCCUCCUCCCCUCAGUAAUGAGACAGACUGCUGAGAGAAGCCACUUCUUGGCGUGACCUCUGACCCCUCUGUUGAAGCAGUGGGUGUCCAGAGGUGAGGAGCAGCCCCCCACUCUGCUCGACCCCGUACCCUCACCGACAUGUGCAUCUUCACCGCGGCUCUUGUUGUUUCCCCACGGGCGCUGUCCCGGUGCCCCCUCGGAGUCGGCCUCCCAGCCUCUUAGGAACAAAGCGGCCUGUCCGUCAAACAGCCAUACAGCUGUCAAUCACCACAAAUACCAUUCUGCGUGUUUACACAGACGAUACCCGCGCUCCGCUGUCGGCGAGGAUCGAAGCGAUAUCGGCCUCACACGCACUCAGAGCUUUGGUUUAUGGCUGUCAAUGGGUAUGCAAAAGAAAAACACUCGUGAAAGGAGGUCAGAGGUCGGGGAGGUGGGAGGGAGUCUGUGUUCUGCUCAAUGACACUUCAGCAGAGUGAAAGGACACUGACACUCUCCAAUGAGAGUGGGUGACAUGCCAGAAAUGUAAUCCUGUUAAAUGUGUUUGAAAUGAUCAGGGAAGAAAUGAAGCCCGAAAAAAAGCAAAACGUUAAUGACCCGACUACCAAGCAGAUACACAAAUGAUCGAUCUUAAAGAUGAAUUAAUAAAUGAUUCAUUUUCAAACAAAAAAGGUUCCCAAGGUUUGGUGUAUCCUUAUUAGCAAAGCUAUUUACAUCCCAAUAGAAACGUCACUUACAGUUAUAAACAGUAUUAAACUAUGUGGUUCAUACACCACCAGACGCCUCUUCCUCUUCUAAACACACUGAUCUUGUAUUUAAAGUCAUUACAGAUGAGAAAUAAAGGAUUUUAAAGUCUAAAUCAGUCUUUUUAAACUGUUUGAAGAUAUCAGGGGGCUGUGACCGGAGCUGACACUCGCAUUAACUCACUAAUUUCAACAGGAGCUGAAUUAUCCACAGAAGUUUCCAAACCACUGAAAAAAACAGGUGAAUCAAGUAUUUUGCUGGGGGGCUGUGAGCUGAUCUGCUGCUAACUUUAGCUUCAUUGUUUUUUUUCUAACAGUUUCAGAUUGAGCGCUCCGUUUUCAUGCCUCUCCAGCAGCGUGGCUCAGGCACGACGUAGGUUGGGGCCGCCAUGCUUGUAGAGGUUUGAAUUAGUGCUUGGUAACUUGCAAUGGCUUACUCAGCUUGGCACUUAGUUACUUCCACAGGCAGUGUCUGCCGCUAGCCCAGCUACACGGGUCAACAAAAUCCACUCUGGAAACGUUUUUGUGGUGAAGAAAAUAUAUAAAAAAUCUUCUGGUUUAUUUCUUACAUCCAAGGAUCCACAAAAAUGAUGAAGACUGGAGCUGACUAAAACUAACACACUUGUUGUAACUAAGCAGUAGCAGGUAAGAAAACCGUUUGCUUCUCUAGCUCCAAGCACUGACUGACUGCAUCAUCUACGUGUCCAUCAAAACAAACGCACAUGCGGUCUUAAAGGGGAAGAAGGCCUGUUAUAAAAAACAUUUACCAAAUCACAUGAAAGAUGAAUUUUAGCAUAUUUUUAACAUUUUUACCACAAUAUGAACUUAUAAAUGAAAUUAUGUAUUAUUAAAUCCUAUAUUUUUAUACUGUCAACUUAUUUAUCUUUUUUUAACACAUUUCAAUCAUGUUAACUGUAUUCAUAACCAUGAACUAUUCUUCCGCCUCUAGCACACUUUGAUAUUUUGGUGAGGGGCGCAGCCCGGCGUAAGUAGCCCCCUCCCUAACUCAGCUCCUCCAAGCGGCGUAAGUAGGAAGGAGGGAGGGGAGAAGGCAUGAGAAGGUUUAACACAGCAGAGCCCUGUUUUCACCAAUCACAUCAGCUCCUCGCCUUUAAAUCUGCCACUGACGAAGCGUAUUGCAAAUUUCGUAAAGUAGUCUGAGAGAUCAAGAGACGGCUGAAGACAGCAUCGCCGCACUCACAUCAAGUUGCAGAUGUCUAAACCCCACAUGACAAAGGUGGGUUGUGCACACAGAUCACAACAUGAACAAAUGCUAACAUUGGCAUUAAAAUCGGAACCACGCGGCUCUUUCUGUCAGUAAUGUUGGCUUAUAAAAUGAACUUGGCUCAAGCAACUGAAUAUUACAAUAUUCAUUUGUAGACCUAACUCCAGAUUGAAUAUUUACAGAAUUUUAAGGAUGUGUGCCUCGGUCUACCAAAGUACCAAACUGGCUGUGUGCCAGGCUGUGCUGGACUAAAAUACCACCCUGCGCCGUGCCGCUUGCGGGUACAAAAAAUCUGAUAACCCUGAAUCAGUUUUUAAGUUUAUCGGUCUUAAAAGUAUCAGACAGCAUUCAGGAGCAGUCAUGAACACGGAUGAACUCAGAUGGCCAAAGUGCUGGCACAGUGAUAGGAAAAGAUAAGAGGUCAUGGCUGUGGUCUCCACUGUGUGUGUGUGUGUGUGAGUGUGUGUUCCAGUAGGAAGUUGGGGAUUUGCUCAGUUGGAAGGGAGGAAAGGAUGACGACAAGGAGGAGAUAUGAGAUGAUGAAGACGAGCAAAAGAACAUUUUCCUGCAUCAUGUCACGACCGCUGAGAGUAGACUAAAUAUUAGAAAUGCUUCCCACUCCCAUGAUACAGAAAUAUGAACAAGGACAUAAAUCAGGUAUGUUUGAUGGGUUAGAGGAAUCAUACGCUACAGCUUUCUUGUUUAACACAUGCAAAGGUUAGGCUGAGGUUAGGCAAAGGUGAGUAUAGAUCACAAAUCUGUGCACAUGGAUUGCGAGCACCAUGAGGGCUAACAGCGCUGUCAUGCAUCCCGCUGAGCCACAGGUUAACCAACACACACUUUGCAUUCCCUAUUUUUACAGCUUUUGUGACCUUUUCGUUCUGUUGUUACUGAAAAUAUGUUUCUAUCAAUAGCCACGUUUACAUGCAGACUUUUUUCUCAUUCGGAUUAUAAUCAUUCCGAUUGAAGCUCCCAGGCGAACUGUUUACAUGGAAGCGAUCUAUUCUGAUCUGGUGUUUACAUGUGCCACGGCAUUCAAUCGGAACAGCUAUUUACAGACACGUGAUACCUUCAAACAUCACGUGAUUGAUUGAUCACGUGAUCUCCGACGCAGACCAGUGCAUCGUGCUCUGCUUGGAAGCCGCCAUCAUGUUUCCAUGUGAGUCAUACGUCACUGCUUGUUUACAUCAGGACAGAGCAUGCGCAGACAGAACCCAGCCUGACAACUUUCCGAUUCACCGUUUACAUGACAGGAUUUUGCUUUUAAUCGGAAUGGGAAAAGGAAAAUUCUACCCCUGUGAAUCGGAAUGAAAUUCCAUUCGGAAUGGGCCUGUUUAUUCCGAAUGAGGUGUUUAUAUGGAGCAUUUUCAUUCCGAUUGGGCUUCUAAUCCGAUUAUAUUCGGAAUAUUUGGCUCCAUGUAAACGUAGCUAAAGUCACAUUUCUGCAUUUUAAACUUAAUUUGAAGAAUAAACCUGCAAAAUUACCAACUAACUGUCAACUUUGCACAAAUUCAUCUGCUAGUGUUUCAUGAAAGGACCCUAAAUUUCCCAAUGUUUUGCUACAAAUGAAGAUUUCUGCAAGGGUGAGCAGUGCAAAAACUCUUAAAUGUAUUAUCAGUCUUUUUGUGAUUAAAUGUUCCCUUUCUCUCUUAUUAUGGCAGUUGCUUCAGUAUCAACAACUGUAGUGCAAACACACUAAAAAUGAGCAAAGGAAGCAUUAUCGCUCAUGUUACAUGCAUGCACUCAAAUUCAGCAGGUUUGAAAUGAGUCGUUUGCAGUUUGUUUCAAUGAUGAGUGAAGAGAAAGACAGCAGUGAGCAGAGGAGAGUCAUAAAGCUGGACUUGCGUACAGGAAACAAGGAGGAGAGAAGGAUCCAGGGAGUAAGGGGGGGCUCCACACAGCUGCAGGGACGAGGGAGGGUGGGAAUGUUAUCUGCAGGGGUCAAGAGGUCAGGACAGAGGUUUUAACUCACUUCCUGUUUCUGCUGCUGGGAUGACAAAACUCUUCUCCCUGCCCCUGGAAUUCACAUCCCUCCCUCCCUCCCACUCUCAUUCUUUCAUUCCCCGUCCUGUCUUCAGCUUUUUCUCACUCCAACAACCCACAAGCUGCUUUCUCAUUCAGGUUUCUCCAGGUUGACCCUGAUGCGCAAUAUCAGACGGGCUGAGAGGAAAAACACAACCAUAAGUGUUUAACAGCUUCUCAGUUUGUUUAAAGUUUCUUGAAUAAAUUGUUAUCAGCUCUUAUUUGUAUCUCUUUCUCUCUCUGUGUGUGUAACCAACACUUAAAACUUCCCUAAACUGAUUUUGCAGAUGUUCAUCUCUGACUCAGUGGUCAAAAUGAUGAGUUAGCGUCCGCUCAGAGACGCAGCUGUGUCUGAGCUCUAAAAUAAACCAUUUGUCUCAAAACUUAUCCCACAAACUUUAUCAAAACGCUCAUCAGAGACUCUUCUUGUUUGUUUUAUUUGGCAGAGUAAGAGAAAUACUGGAAUGUGAUGUGGUUUGUCAACGACCUCCUAAGCACAAGAGUCCUCUGGUGGGAGGAGAGGGAUGAUAUACGAAUUUCAUUUCUGGAAAGCAAAUCACAAAAGGAUGAGUUUAUGUUCUGCGGUAGACUCAGUGACCCGUCGAAGUGUUAGUCCAGGCAGGCCAUGAAGUCAGGCUCAGCAAAAAUGAAACAGAAGGUGAGGUAAGCGUACUAAUUAAAAGGGAUAGUCCAGUGUGAAAUUAAUUUAGUGUCAAACACACCAUAACACUGAGUUAGACACCCCCUCCAGAGAUGAAUGUUGACGACCGCUUACUUCUCUAGUUAUGCCAACUUUAGUAACGACCACAGAUAACAAUACAGGGAGCCACGCGCUCAACCAAAACGCCACUCUA